Molecule: ribosomal RNA, 450 nt
Filed under: uncultured bacterium
Lineage: Bacteria
Description: partial 16S ribosomal RNA
Rfam family: Bacterial small subunit ribosomal RNA
Source: RNAcentral
GCUAAGAAUAUUCCGCAAUGGACGAAAGUCUGACGGAGCGACGCCGCGUGGAUGAGGAAGGCCGAAAGGUUGUAAAGUCCUUUUGUCGAUGAAGAAUAAGUGGUGGAGGGAAUGCCAUCAUGAUGACGUUAGUCGGCGAAUAAGCCCCGGCUAAUUACGUGCCAGCAGCCGCGGUAACACGUAAGGGGCAAGCGUUGUUCGGAAUUAUUGGGCGUAAAGGGUACGUAGGCGGUUAUGUAAGCCCGGCGUGAAAUCCUGCAGCUUAACUGUAGAGCUGCGCUGGGAACUGCGUAACUUGAGUCAUGGAAGGGAAGUUAGAAUUCCAGGUGUAGGGGUGAAAUCUGUAGAUAUCUGGAAGAAUACCGGUGGCGAAGGCGAACUUCUGGCCAAUGACUGACGCUGAGGUACGAAAGUGCGGGGAGCAAACAGGAUUAGAUACCCUAGUAGUCC